Molecule: ribosomal RNA, 484 nt
Filed under: uncultured bacterium
Lineage: Bacteria
Description: partial 16S ribosomal RNA
Rfam family: Bacterial small subunit ribosomal RNA
Source: RNAcentral
AUUGAACGCUGGCGGCAGGCCUAACACAUGCAAGUCGAGCGGAUGAAGGGAGCUUGCUCCUGGAUUCAGCGGCGGACGGGUGAGUAAUGCCUAGGAAUCUGCCUGGUAGUGGGGGAUAACGUCCGGAAACGGGCGCUAAUACCGCAUACGUCCUGAGGGAGAAAGUGGGGGAUCUUCGGACCUCACGCUAUCAGAUGAGCCUAGGUCGGAUUAGCUAGUUGGUGGGGUAAAGGCCUACCAAGGCGACGAUCCGUAACUGGUCUGAGAGGAUGAUCAGUCACACUGGAACUGAGACACGGUCCAGACUCCUACGGGAGGCAGCAGUGGGGAAUAUUGGACAAAGGGCGAAAGCCUGAUCCAGCCAUGCCGCGUGUGUGAAGAAGGUCUUCGGAUUGUAAAGCACUUUAAGUUGGGAGGAAGGGCAGUAAGUUAAUACCUUGCUGUUUUGACGUUACUAACAGAAUAAGCACCGGCUAACUUCGUG